RNAcentral lists this transfer RNA (74 nucleotides) under Streptococcus danieliae. RNAcentral describes it as "tRNA-Asn". It matches the Rfam family "tRNA". Rfam says of the family: Transfer RNA (tRNA) molecules are approximately 80 nucleotides in length. The record is from RNAcentral. Lineage: Bacteria; Bacillati; Bacillota; Bacilli; Lactobacillales; Streptococcaceae.
GGGCGCGUAGCUCAGUUGGUAGUAGCGCAUGACUGUUAAUCAUGAUGUCGUAGGUUCGAGUCCACUCGUGCCCA